This is a non-coding RNA of Hypoxylon fuscum, 72 nucleotides long. NCBI's taxonomy places the organism in Eukaryota, Fungi, Ascomycota, Sordariomycetes, Xylariales, Hypoxylaceae. The record is from the annotation of a GenBank genome assembly.
AGCUUCAUGGUGCAAUGGUAGCACGCCGGGUCCAUAGUCCGAAGGUCCUUCGUUCGAAUCGAAGUGAAGCUA